UACGGAGGGUGCAAGCGUUAUCCGGAAUCAUUGGGUUUAAAGGGUCCGUAGGCGGUUUUGUAAGUCAGUGGUGAAAGCCCAUCGCUCAACGGUGGAACGGCCAUUGAUACUGCAAGACUUGAAUUAUUAGGAAGUAACUAGAAUAUGUAGUGUAGCGGUGAAAUGCUUAGAUAUUACAUGGAAUACCAAUUGCGAAGGCAGGUUACUACUAAUGGAUUGACGCUGAUGGACGAAAGCGUGGGGAGCGAACAGG
This 253-nucleotide ribosomal RNA is filed under the name uncultured bacterium. Its description in RNAcentral is "partial 16S ribosomal RNA". It matches the Rfam family "Bacterial small subunit ribosomal RNA", at positions 524 to 776 of the family's 1533-position model. The record is from RNAcentral.